UAAGGAAUAUUGGUCAAUGGACGCAAGUCUGAACCGGCCAUGCCGCGUGAAGGAUGAAGGUCCUCUGGAUUGUAAACUUCUUUUAUCUGGGACGAAAACGGGAUUUUUAUCUCAAUUGACGGUACCAGAGGAAUAAGCACCGGCUAACUCCGUGCCAGCAGCCGCGGUAAUACGGAGGGUGCGAGCGUUAUCCGGAUUUACUGGGCGUAAAGGAUGCGUAGGCGGAUACUUAAGUCAGAUGUGAAAAUCCCGGGCUUAACUUGGGAACUGCAUUUGAAACUGGGUAUCUAGAGUGCGGGAGAGGAAAGUGGAAUUCCUAGUGUAGCGGUGAAAUGCGUAGAGAUUAGGAAGAACACCAGUGGCGAAGGCGACUUUCUGGACCGUAACUGACGCUGAGGCAUGAAAGCGUGGGGAGCAAACA
This 421-nucleotide ribosomal RNA is filed under the name uncultured bacterium. RNAcentral describes it as "bacterial SSU rRNA". It matches the Rfam family "Bacterial small subunit ribosomal RNA", at positions 355 to 774 of the family's 1533-position model. The record is from RNAcentral.